Molecule: ribosomal RNA, 253 nt
Filed under: uncultured bacterium
Lineage: Bacteria
Description: partial 16S ribosomal RNA
Rfam family: Bacterial small subunit ribosomal RNA
Source: RNAcentral
UACAGAGGGUGCAAGCGUUGUUCGGAAUUAUUGGGCGUAAAGGGAGUGUAGGCGGUCUGGUAAGUCUUCUGUGAAACCUACGGGCUUAGCCUGUAACGUGCAGAGGAAACUACCAGGCUUGAGUGUCGGAGAGGAUAGGGGAAUUCCCGGUGUAGAGGUGAAAUUCGUAGAGAUCGGGAGGAACACCAGUGGCGAAGGCGCCUAUCUGGCUGACAACUGACGCUGAGACUCGAAAGCAUGGGGAGCAAACAGG